UACGGAGGGUGCUAGCGUUGUUCGGAAUUACUGGGCGUAAAGGGCGCGUAGGCGGCCGUUUGCGUCGGAUGUGAAAGCCCGGGGCUCAACCUCGGAACGGCAUUCGAUACGGGACGGCUGGAGACCGGGAGAGGAGAGUGGAAUAGCCAGUGUAGAGGUGAAAUGCGUAGAUAUCUGGAGGAACACCGGUGGCGAAGGCGGCAUCCUGGACCGACACUGACGCUGAGGAGCGAAAGCCAGGGGAGCAAACGGG
Molecule: ribosomal RNA, 253 nt
Filed under: uncultured bacterium
Lineage: Bacteria
Description: partial 16S ribosomal RNA
Rfam family: Bacterial small subunit ribosomal RNA
Source: RNAcentral